Molecule: transfer RNA, 77 nt
Filed under: Sulfurimonas lithotrophica
Lineage: Bacteria; Pseudomonadati; Campylobacterota; Epsilonproteobacteria; Campylobacterales; Sulfurimonadaceae
Also listed under: 2 other names
Description: Sulfurimonas sp. GYSZ_1 tRNA-Arg
Rfam family: tRNA
About the family: Transfer RNA (tRNA) molecules are approximately 80 nucleotides in length. Their secondary structure includes four short double-helical elements and three loops (D, anti-codon, and T loops).
Source: RNAcentral
GCGUCCAUAGCUCAGCUGGAUAGAGCACUGGUUUGCGGUACCAGCGGUCGGGAGUUCGAAUCUCUCUGGGCGUACCA